UACGUAGGGUGCGAGCGUUAAUCGGAAUUACUGGGCGUAAAGUGUGCGCAGGCGGCCGAGCAAGUCGAGUGUGAAAGCCCCGAGCUUAACUUGGGAACUGCGCUCGAAACUACUUGGCUAGAGUGCGGCAGAGGGGGAUGGAAUUCCGCGUGUAGCAGUGAAAUGCGUAGAUAUGCGGAGGAACACCGAUGGCGAAGGCAAUCCCCUGGGCCUGCACUGACGCUCAUGCACGAAAGCGUGGGGAGCAAACAGG
Molecule: ribosomal RNA, 253 nt
Filed under: uncultured bacterium
Lineage: Bacteria
Description: partial 16S ribosomal RNA
Rfam family: Bacterial small subunit ribosomal RNA
Source: RNAcentral